GCCACGAUCGCAUAACCUGGUAUUGCGCAGGAUUGCUAAUCCUGUUUCCUUCGGGAUAUCUGGGUUCAAGAGAGUCCCAGUCGUGGCG
This 88-nucleotide transfer RNA is filed under the name Candidatus Woesearchaeota archaeon. Its description in RNAcentral is "tRNA-Ser". It matches the Rfam family "tRNA". From Rfam's summary of the family: Transfer RNA (tRNA) molecules are approximately 80 nucleotides in length. Their secondary structure includes four short double-helical elements and three loops (D, anti-codon, and T loops). Lineage: Archaea; Nanobdellati; Candidatus Woesearchaeota. The record is from RNAcentral. RNAcentral also lists the same sequence under 1 other name.